Molecule: RNase P RNA, 366 nt
Filed under: Garicola koreensis
Lineage: Bacteria; Bacillati; Actinomycetota; Actinomycetes; Micrococcales; Micrococcaceae
Description: Bacterial RNase P class A
Rfam family: Bacterial RNase P class A
About the family: Ribonuclease P (RNase P) is a ubiquitous endoribonuclease, found in archaea, bacteria and eukarya as well as chloroplasts and mitochondria. Its best characterised activity is the generation of mature 5'-ends of tRNAs by cleaving the 5'-leader elements of precursor-tRNAs.
Source: Rfam by way of RNAcentral
CGGGUCGGCCAGGCCAUCGCGGUGCACUGAUGAGGUGCAUCGAGGAAAGUCCGGGCUCCGCAGGGCAGGAUGGUGGGUAACGCCCACUCGGGGUGACCCGCAGGCCAGUGCCACAGAAAACAGACCGCCCCGGCACGCCGGGGUAAGGGUGAAACGGCGGUGUAAGAGACCACCAGUGCACCGGGUGACCGGUGCGGCUCGGCAAACCCCAUCCGGAGCAAGGUCGAACAGGAUGCGCGGAGCCUCACGGCUCCUGCAGGGCUGCCCGCCCGAGCAUCCGGGUUGACUGCUUGAGGCCCGUGGCAACACGGCGCCCAGAUGGAUGAUGGUCCACGACAGAACCCGGCUUAUCGGCCGACCCGUCCC